UACGUAGGUGGCAAGCGAUACUCGGAAUCACUAGGCGUAAAGAGCGUGUAGGCGGCUCGGUAAGUCCGCUGUGAAAGUCCAGGGCUCAACCCUGGAAUGCCAGUGGAAACUGUCGAGCUAGAGUCCGGAAGAGGCGAGUGGAAUUCCUGGUGUAGCGGUGAAAUGCGCAGAUAUCAGGAGGAACACCAAUGGCGAAGGCAGCUCGCUGGGACGGUACUGACGCUGAGACGCGAAAGCGUGGGGAGCAAACAGG
RNAcentral lists this ribosomal RNA (253 nucleotides) under uncultured bacterium. RNAcentral describes it as "partial 16S ribosomal RNA". It matches the Rfam family "Bacterial small subunit ribosomal RNA", at positions 524 to 776 of the family's 1533-position model. The record is from RNAcentral.